UUAGGUUAAGUUAUGAAGGGCGCACGGUGAAUGCCUUGGCACUAGGAGCCGAAGAAGGACGCGACGAACAGCGAAAUGCUUUGGGGAGCUGUAAGUAAGCUUUGAUCCAGAGAUCUCCGAA
Molecule: ribosomal RNA, 121 nt
Filed under: Anaerobacillus arseniciselenatis
Lineage: Bacteria; Bacillati; Bacillota; Bacilli; Caryophanales; Bacillaceae
Description: partial 23S ribosomal RNA
Rfam family: Bacterial large subunit ribosomal RNA
Source: RNAcentral